UUAGCAAAUAAGAUUGGUAGACUGU
RNAcentral lists this non-coding RNA (25 nucleotides) under Cricetulus griseus (Chinese hamster). Lineage: Eukaryota; Metazoa; Chordata; Mammalia; Rodentia; Cricetidae. The record is from RNAcentral.